This 220-nucleotide long non-coding RNA is filed under the name Glycine max (soybean). RNAcentral's name for it is "long non-coding RNA (GMAX_LNC000861)". The record is from RNAcentral. Lineage: Eukaryota; Viridiplantae; Streptophyta; Magnoliopsida; Fabales; Fabaceae.
UUAGAUCAAACAUUCCAAGUCUUCUUUCCCAAAUCCUAGCCCAAGUCCCAAGCCUAUGGGGAAGAACAAGUCUCCUUACGUUUGAAAUGGUUCAGUUUUUCACUUUCUCUACAGUUCGAAAUGAGUUUCUCCACUUCCUUAUCGUGAACCUAAAACAAAUGAAAUCGUGCUUGCGAAAUGACAUUGGACAUGCAUUUUCGUGAACGAAGGAAGGACCACC